Molecule: non-coding RNA, 76 nt
Organism: Potamilus streckersoni
Lineage: Eukaryota; Metazoa; Mollusca; Bivalvia; Unionida; Unionidae
Source: the annotation of a GenBank genome assembly
GUCUCUAUGUGGAGCAAUCGGUUAACGCGUUCUGCUGUAAACCUAAAGAUUGGUGGUUCGAGCCCACCCAGUAACU